UUUAUCAAAAACAUCGCCUCUUGAAAACCACAUAUAAGAGGUCCCGCCUGCCCUGUGACUAAUUGUUUAACGGCCGCGGUAUCCUGACCGUGCGAAGGUAGCGCAAUCACUUGUCUUUUAAAUGAAGACCUGUAUGAAUGGCAUAACGAGGGCUUGACUGUCUCCUUUUUCAAGUCAAUGAAAUUGAUCUCCCCGUGCAGAAGCGGGGAUGUAACCAUAAGACGAGAAGACCCUAUGGAGCUUUAGACACUAAGGCAGCUCACACCACCUACUCCUAUAACAAUAGGCCGUAAACCUGAGCGAACCCUGCCCCACUGUCUUUGGUUGGGGCGACCAUGGGGAAAUAAAAAACCCCCACACGGAAUGGGAGUACACGCUCCCGGAACCAAGAGCCACAGCUCUAAUUAACAGAACUUCUGACCACCAAGAUCCGGCAUUGCCGAUCAAUGAACCGAGUUACCCUAGGGAUAACAGCGCAAUCUCCUUUUAGAGUCCAUAUCGACAAGGGGGUUUACGACCUCGAUGUUGGAUCAGGACAUCCUAAUGGUGCAGCCGCUAUUAAGGGUUCGUUUGUUCAACGAUUAAAGUCCUACGUGAUCUGAGUUUCAACCGGGA
RNAcentral lists this ribosomal RNA (615 nucleotides) under Variola louti (yellow-edged lyretail). RNAcentral describes it as "partial 16S ribosomal RNA". It matches the Rfam family "Bacterial large subunit ribosomal RNA", at positions 1803 to 2621 of the family's 2925-position model. Lineage: Eukaryota; Metazoa; Chordata; Actinopteri; Perciformes; Serranidae. The record is from RNAcentral.